Non-coding RNA from Glycine soja, 110 nucleotides. The record is from Rfam. NCBI's taxonomy places the organism in Eukaryota, Viridiplantae, Streptophyta, Magnoliopsida, Fabales, Fabaceae.
UUUUUAUUGAACGUUGAUCAUUACGUGUUGUGCGUUUAUUGGAUGUUAAUUUUGUGUACCUAAUUAACAUCAACCUCCAAUAAAAUCGUGACACGUGACAGUCAACGUCC